GUGAAGCUUACCUGACUUAUCAUCUCUCUUAUGGGGGCUCAGCAUUCAAUGACUGCAAAAAGCAGAUUCCCUAGUAGUGUAUAGAGCUCAUUGUUUGUGUUGUUCUAAUGGACUUUGAACACAUCA
Small nucleolar RNA from Sciurus vulgaris (Eurasian red squirrel), 126 nucleotides. Its record names the gene SNORA70. It matches the Rfam family "Small nucleolar RNA SNORA70". Rfam says of the family: snoRNA U70 seems to be exclusive to mammals and is a member of the H/ACA class of snoRNA which contain H (ANANNA) and ACA box motifs. The record is from Ensembl. Lineage: Eukaryota; Metazoa; Chordata; Mammalia; Rodentia; Sciuridae.